This 227-nucleotide ribosomal RNA is filed under the name uncultured Rhodobacterales bacterium. Its description in RNAcentral is "partial 16S ribosomal RNA". It matches the Rfam family "Bacterial small subunit ribosomal RNA", at positions 90 to 334 of the family's 1533-position model. Lineage: Bacteria; Pseudomonadati; Pseudomonadota; Alphaproteobacteria; Rhodobacterales. The record is from RNAcentral.
GGUUAGCGGCGGACGGGUGAGUAACGCGUGGGAACGUGCCCUUUUCUACGGAAUAGCCUCGGGAAACUGAGAGUAAUACCGUAUACGCCCUUUUGGGGAAAGAUUUAUCGGAGAAGGAUCGGCCCGCGUUGGAUUAGGUAGUUGGUGGGGUAAUGGCCUACCAAGCCGACGAUCCAUAGCUGGUUUGAGAGGAUGAUCAGCCACACUGGGACUGAGACACGGCCCAG